GAUGAACGCUAGCGAUAGGCUUAACACAUGCAAGUCGAGGGGCAGCAUGGUCUUAGCUUGCUAAGACUGAUGGCGACCGGCGCACGGGUGCGUAACGCGUAUGCAACUUGCCUCACAGAGGGGGAUAACCCGUCGAAAGACGGACUAAUACCGCGUACACUUGGGAUAGGGCAUCCUGACCCAAGGAAAUGAAAUUCGCUGUGAGAUAGGCAUGCGUCCCAUUAGCUAGUUGGUGAGGUAACGGCUCACCAAGGCGACGAUGGGUAGGGGAACUGAGAGGUUGAACCCCCACACUGGUACUGAGACACGGACCAGAAUCCUACGGGAGGCAGCAGUGAGGAAGAUUGGGCAAUGGGCGAGAGCCUGAACCAGCCAAGUCGCGUGAAGGAUGACUGUCUUAUGGAUUGUAAACUUCUUUUAUACGGGAAUAACAAGAGCCACGUGUGGCUCCCUGCAUGUACCGUAUGAAUAAGCAUCGGCUAACUCCGUG
Molecule: ribosomal RNA, 490 nt
Filed under: uncultured bacterium
Lineage: Bacteria
Description: partial 16S ribosomal RNA
Rfam family: Bacterial small subunit ribosomal RNA
Source: RNAcentral